RNAcentral lists this transfer RNA (56 nucleotides) under Fukomys damarensis (Damara mole-rat). It matches the Rfam family "tRNA", at positions 6 to 65 of the family's 71-position model. Rfam says of the family: Transfer RNA (tRNA) molecules are approximately 80 nucleotides in length. Their secondary structure includes four short double-helical elements and three loops (D, anti-codon, and T loops). The record is from Rfam by way of RNAcentral. Lineage: Eukaryota; Metazoa; Chordata; Mammalia; Rodentia; Bathyergidae.
UGUAGCUCAGUGGUAGAGCACCUGCCUAGCAUGAGGCUCUGGGUUAGAACCCAGCA